ACGGAAGGCAGCAGUGAGGAAUAUUGGUCAAUGGGCGGAAGCCUGAACCAGCCAAGUCGCGUGAAGGAUGAAGGUAUUAUGUAUUGUAAACUUCUUUAGCUGUGGAGCAAUAAUCGCCAUGCGUGGCGAGAUGAGAGUACACAGAGAAUAAGGAUCGGCUAACUCCGUGCCAGCAGCCGCGGUAAUACGGAGGAUCCGAGCGUUAUCCGGAUUUAUUGGGUUUAAAGGGAGCGUAGGCGGGCCUUUAAGUCAGUGGUCAAAGCGUGUGGCUCAACCAUACCACGCCGUUGAUACUGGAGGCCUUGAGUGCACAUAAGGAUGGUGGAAUUCAUGGUGUAGCGGUGAAAUGCUUAGAUAUCAUGAAGAACUCCGAUUGCGAAGGCAGCUGUCCGGGGUGUAACUGACGCUAAUGCUCGAAAGUGCGGGUAUCAAACAGGAUUAGAUACCCUGGUA
RNAcentral lists this ribosomal RNA (453 nucleotides) under uncultured Prevotellaceae bacterium. Its description in RNAcentral is "partial 16S ribosomal RNA". It matches the Rfam family "Bacterial small subunit ribosomal RNA", at positions 341 to 792 of the family's 1533-position model. The record is from RNAcentral. Lineage: Bacteria; Pseudomonadati; Bacteroidota; Bacteroidia; Bacteroidales; Prevotellaceae.